AGCGAACGCUGGCGGCAGGCCUAACACAUGCAAGUCGAACGAACCUUUCGGGGUUAGUUGCGGACGGGUGAGUAACACGUGGUAACUUGCCUUUAGGUUCGGAAUACCUCAGGGAAACUUGUGCUAAUACCGCAUGUGCCCUUCCGGGGUAAGAUUUAUCGCCUUUAGAUCGGCCCGCCGGUGUUUCGCCAGUUGGUUGGGGUCAUGGCUCACCUAGGCGUCGAUGGGUAGCAGGACUGAGAGGAUGAUCGGCCACAUUGGGACGGAGAGACGGCCCAGACUCAUAAGGGAGGCAGCAGUGGGGAAUAUUGCACAAUGGGCGGAAGCCUGAUGGAGCAACGACGCGUGAGGGAUGAAGGCCGUAGGGUUGUAAACCGCUUUCGCCUGUGACGAAGCGUGAGUGACGGGAAUGGGUAAAGAAGAACAGGCUAAAUAAAUG
Molecule: ribosomal RNA, 439 nt
Filed under: uncultured bacterium
Lineage: Bacteria
Description: partial 16S ribosomal RNA
Rfam family: Bacterial small subunit ribosomal RNA
Source: RNAcentral